AUGAAUCGGCCACAGGUACAUGAUAACCCCAUUGUGAAACCCCUCCCACCUCCUUCUCUACCUCAUCCCUCUGGGUUGUCCCAGACCACCUGCUUUGGGUGCCCUGCUUCAUGCAUCGAGCUUGCACUGGCCAUCUAUUUUACAUAUGGUAAUGUACAUGUUUCAAUGCUAUUCUCUCAAAUCAUCCCACCCUCACCUUCUCCCACAGAGUCCAAAAGUCUGUUCUUUUUUUUUUCCCAGAUCAACAUCUUACACUUUAUAAUACACUCACAAAUUUUUACACAAAUAUGUUUACAAGUACAAAAAGGCAAAGAACCUCAGAGAAUCGAAGUAACUGUAUCAUCGACUGCAUUCAGUAGAGCCAGAUCAUCCAGGGGAGAGUCAUCCAUUGCUGUCUAAGUUUCAUUGCUGGUGAAGAAUAAGCUCCCCGAAGUUUCGAAGCCACAAUUCAUUGUCUGUGUUUCGGCACUGUUGAACUGAACUUUGCUUUCCAGGGCAGGCAGGUUUUUAGCAGUGGAGAGUCUGUCAGUCUGGGUCUCUGUGUCAGAUGAAUCAGUACUCAUGGAAAAGCUGGAGUGUUUCAGGAUACUUCCCAGUGGCAGAUGAGGGCUACUGUCUAAAAAGAAGUUCAGGUCCAUCUGUGUCUGCAUGUCAAACAUUUCAAGGCCUAAGAAGCUAGAAUUUCCCUUACAACUGUAGGCCUGGGCAGAAGGGUCUGCAAGGAAGAGAUCAAUUUGGGUUUCUGUGUCCAGCGAUUCCAAGACUGGCUCAGUGGUCAUGGUGCUAAGCUCACUCUCUUUGGUUUGUGUAUUUGAGGCUGAAAACUCUUCAGUAUCAAAAUCAACUGCAGGAUUCUGGAUUGGGCCAGAUGGGAGCUGGGUGUCAGGUCCAGUAUUUGUGUCAGACAAAAGACUAUGAUUGUCCACGUCUGACCAGGUAGGUUACUUGACAAGAUGUUUUCUAGAUCACUUAAUAAAUCCAUGGUUUGGGUUUGAUUAUCUGUCA
This 1005-nucleotide long non-coding RNA is filed under the name Bos indicus x Bos taurus (hybrid cattle). RNAcentral's name for it is "lncRNA (ENSBIXG00005020899.1)". The record is from RNAcentral. Lineage: Eukaryota; Metazoa; Chordata; Mammalia; Artiodactyla; Bovidae.